GGGCCUGUAGCUUAGUGGUGGAGCGACCGGCUCAUAACCGGUCGGUCGUGGGUUCGAACCCCUCCGGGCCCA
This 72-nucleotide transfer RNA is filed under the name Methanocorpusculum sp. Its description in RNAcentral is "tRNA-Ile". It matches the Rfam family "tRNA". Rfam says of the family: Transfer RNA (tRNA) molecules are approximately 80 nucleotides in length. Their secondary structure includes four short double-helical elements and three loops (D, anti-codon, and T loops). Lineage: Archaea; Methanobacteriati; Methanobacteriota; Methanomicrobia; Methanomicrobiales; Methanocorpusculaceae. The record is from RNAcentral.